UGGGGAAUAUUGCACAAUGGGGGAAACCCUGAUGCAGCAAUGCCGCGUGAGUGAUGACGGCCUUCGGGUUGUAAAGCUCUGUCUUCGGGGACGAUAAUGACGGUACCCGAGGAGGAAGCCACGGCUAACUACGUGCCAGCAGCCGCGGUAAUACGUAGGUGGCAAGCGUUGUCCGGAUUUACUGGGCGUAAAGGGAGCGUAGGCGGACUUUUAAGUGAGAUGUGAAAUACCCGAGCUCAACUUGGGUGCUGCAUUUCAAACUGGAAGUCUAGAGUGCAGGAGAGGAGAAGGGAAUUCCUAGUGUAGCGGUGAAAUGCGUAGAGAUUAGGAAGAACACCAGUGGCGAAGGCGCUUCUCUGGACUGUAACUGACGCUGAGGCUCGAAAGCGUGGGGAGCAAACAGG
This 404-nucleotide ribosomal RNA is filed under the name uncultured Clostridium sp. RNAcentral's name for it is "bacterial SSU rRNA". It matches the Rfam family "Bacterial small subunit ribosomal RNA", at positions 355 to 776 of the family's 1533-position model. Lineage: Bacteria; Bacillati; Bacillota; Clostridia; Eubacteriales; Clostridiaceae. The record is from RNAcentral.